AUUGAACGCUGGCGGCAUGCCUUACACAUGCAAGUCGAACGGUAACGGGUUAAGCUGUCGAGUGGCGAACGGGUGAGUAAUAUAUCGGAACGUGCCCAGUCGUGGGGGAUAACGUAGCGAAAGCUACGCUAAUACCGCAUACGAUCUACGGAUGAAAGCGGGGGAUCGCAAGACCUCGCGCGAUUGGAGCGGCCGAUAUCAGAUUAGGUUGUUGGUGAGGUAAAAACUCACCAAGCCUGCGAUCUGUAGCUGGUCUGAGAGGACGACCAGCCACACUGGAACAGAGACACGGUACAGACUCCUACGGGAGGCAGCAGUGGGGAAUUUUGGACAAUGGACGCAAGUCUGAUUCAGCAAUGCCGCGUGCAGGACGAAGGCCUUCGGGUUGUAAACUGCUUUUGUACGGAACGAAACGGUGAGCUCUAAUACAGUUUGCUAAUGACGGUACCGUAAGAAUAAGCACCGGCUAACUACGUGCCAGCCGCCGCGGUAA
This 493-nucleotide ribosomal RNA is filed under the name uncultured bacterium. RNAcentral describes it as "partial 16S ribosomal RNA". It matches the Rfam family "Bacterial small subunit ribosomal RNA", at positions 30 to 523 of the family's 1533-position model. The record is from RNAcentral.